AUUGAACGCUGGCGGCAUGCUUUACACAUGCAAGUCGAACGGCAGCACGGGUGCUUGCACCUGGUGGCGAGUGGCGGACGGGUGAGUAAUACAUCGGAACGUGUCCAGAAGAGGGGGAUAACGCAUCGAAAGAUGUGCUAAUACCGCAUAUGCUCUGAGGAGGAAAGUGGGGGAUCGAAAGACCUUACGCUUUUGGAGCGGCCGAUGUCUGAUUAGCUAGUUGGUGGGGUAAGGGCCUACCAAGGCGACGAUCAGUAGCUGGUCUGAGAGGAUGGCCAGCCACACUGGAACUGAGACACGGUCCAGACUCCUACGGGAGGCAGCAGUGGGGAAUAUUGGACAAUGGGGGGCAACCCUGAUCCAGCCAUGCCGCGUGUGUGAAGAAGGCCUCGGUUGUAAG
This 400-nucleotide ribosomal RNA is filed under the name uncultured bacterium. Its description in RNAcentral is "bacterial SSU rRNA". It matches the Rfam family "Bacterial small subunit ribosomal RNA", at positions 30 to 429 of the family's 1533-position model. The record is from RNAcentral.